RNAcentral lists this non-coding RNA (24 nucleotides) under Arabidopsis thaliana (thale cress). The record is from RNAcentral. Lineage: Eukaryota; Viridiplantae; Streptophyta; Magnoliopsida; Brassicales; Brassicaceae.
UACAAACUUAGUCGCUCCUUCCUC